GACGAACGCUGGCGGCGUGCCUAAUACAUGCAAGUCGAACGCAGUGGGGACGGGUGAGUAACACGUGGGUAACCUCCCAUCAGAGGGGAUAACACUUGGAAACAGGUGCUAAACCGAUACUGAUGGAUGGACCCGCGGUGCAUUAGCUAGGUGGUGAGGUAACGGCUCACCAAGGCCACGAUGCAUAGCCGGCCUGGGGAGGUGGUCCGCCAAACUGGGAACUGGGCACGGCCCAGACUCCUACGGGGGGCAGCAGUAGGGAAACUUCGGCAAUGGAGGAAAGGCUGACCGAGGAACGGCGGGUGAGUGGAGAAGGUUUUCGGAUCGUAAAGCUCUGUUGUUAGGGAAGCGGUAACUAACCAGAAAGGGACGGCUAACUACGUGCCAGCAGCCGCGGUAAUUC
Molecule: ribosomal RNA, 403 nt
Filed under: uncultured bacterium
Lineage: Bacteria
Description: partial 16S ribosomal RNA
Rfam family: Bacterial small subunit ribosomal RNA
Source: RNAcentral